Long non-coding RNA from Mus musculus (house mouse), 1294 nucleotides. RefSeq annotates it as predicted gene, 39249. The record is from RefSeq and is a predicted model, not a curated record. NCBI's taxonomy places the organism in Eukaryota, Metazoa, Chordata, Mammalia, Rodentia, Muridae. The transcript has 3 exons.
AGGAGUAGCUGGAAAUCAAACAAACACAGGACUCAAUGAAUAGGUUAGGGAUUCGGCUCUACUGUCUAUUAACUUGGUGGUCCAGGGUCAGUCACUUCAGCUCUCUGCUCUUGAGCAUCUGCAGCUAGUAAGUAUGCUGCAGUCGUUAAGAGAUGUUAUUUAUGGGCCUACUGUGUGCUGGGGCCUAUUCUAUGAUGUAAUACAGUCUCUUCAACCCUUGUUAUUUCCUUACAGCUCCCCCUGCUCCCCUAAGGAAGCUUUUAGAUGUUCUCAUUCCCGUUGAGAUCUCUACAUUUUAAUUCCAUGCCACUAUUUGCUAAGUGCAUAUUUAUACCUCCGUUGUACACGUGACUGCAUAUGGACAUGUGCUUGCUAGUUUUAUGUCAGCUUGACACAAGCUAGAGUCUAUUAGAGAUGGGGAAGCCUCAAGUCAGAAAACACCUCCAUAAAAUGGAGUUAUACAUAGAUCCCCUCCCUUGAACAAAUUGUAGCCUUUUUUGAUAAGGCAUCUCAGAGUGGAGUCUAUGGGAUGCUCCCAGAAGUCUAGUCUCCUCCUUUAAAAACUCUCUGUCCAGGAACCCUGAUGGCCAUAAGCGAUCUCUCACAGCCUGAUUAACGGAGUUCCUUAUAAUUCAUUAAAUAGAGCCAGGUCCCACAUAUGGCCUGCUCUGGAACCAAGCCACUGGUGAGGGACCAAUCUACCCUCAGAGGGUGUAUUUCUGCACAGAUGAAGAUGCUAUAGGCUGAUUCCAUUGCCAGAUAGAGACAAUGGAAGAAUCCCAGUACUUGCUACAGGGCUUGAUGGCUUUCAAAGGGAUGCUUCGAUAUGUUUCAAGUCUCUCUGGAACAACCCUGAGGAGGGCCUGAGUUAUCAGAAUAUCAUGAUUUCCCUGCCGCACUCAGCUGAAGUUAUCUGAGUACCAUUCAAGGGCCCUGAAAACAUGAAGAGUAGUAAGACAUGGGCCCUUUUCCCAGGGGCCAUGAUGCAAUGGAGUCAGUCUUAGUGUCUGAAGUCCAGGUCCAAUACUCACAGAUCUGAUCAUUCUGAAUACAUCUUGUGUCCCCCUCGGCCAUCAGUUCUCAAGUCUGAGAAACACAUCCGAUCGCACAUGCCUCUCCCAUUCCAAAAUACUCAUGAGCUCAUGGAGGUCAUGGGCAUGAAAGUAUUUACUCAUAAGCUACAAAAUUCCCACCAGCAAUCUUGACCCGAACUGGAGUGCGGGGUCACAUAUGGUGAUAUGGAAGAGCCAAAUCUUUAAGAAGCAGAGGGACUGAAACUGCGGCAGGCUCUGAG